Molecule: transfer RNA, 197 nt
Filed under: Metarhizium anisopliae
Lineage: Eukaryota; Fungi; Ascomycota; Sordariomycetes; Hypocreales; Clavicipitaceae
Description: tRNA-Sec
Source: RNAcentral
AAUUAUAAUAAUUAAAUAGUUUAAAUUAUUAGCUUUCAAGUAUUAUAAUACUUAUAAUAUUUAGGUAAAAAAUACUUUUUUAGGUAUUAAAAAAAGUAAGUAAUAUUAUAAGUUUAAGAGUAUUAAUUAAAAGGUAUUAUAGCUUUAAUUAUAAUAAAUAUAUAAAGCUAAUUAAAUAAUUUAAAUUAAUAUAAAUA